RNAcentral lists this ribosomal RNA (1235 nucleotides) under metagenome. RNAcentral's name for it is "bacterial LSU rRNA". It matches the Rfam family "Bacterial large subunit ribosomal RNA", at positions 1564 to 2808 of the family's 2925-position model. The record is from RNAcentral.
UGGAUACGAGAUGCUACGGCGUCGAAGCAGUCUAUGUCAUACUUCCAAGAAAAGCUUGCACUGUCAUAAACAAAUAAUGCCUGUACCAUAACCGACACAGGUGGGUAGGUAGAGUAUACUAAGGGGCGCGAGAUAACUCUCUCUAAGGAACUCGGCAAAAUGACUCCGUAACUUCGGGAGAAGGAGUGCCUUAUUUAUAAGGUUGCAAUAACAAGAUCCAAGCAACUGUUUAUCAAAAACACAGGUCUCCGCUAAGUCGUAAGACGAUGUAUGGGGGCUGACGCCUGCCCAGUGCCAGAAGGUUAAAGAAGUUGGUUAGUGUAUGCGAAGCUGAUGACUGAAGCCCUGGUGAACGGCGGCCGUAACGAUAACGGUCCUAAGGUAGCGAAAUUCCUUGUCGGGUAAGUUCCGACCCGCACGAAAGGCGUAAUGAUUUGGAUACUGUCACGGAGAGAGGCUCGGUGAAAUAGACUUGUCUGUGAAGAUGCGGACUACCUGCACCAGGACAGAAAGACCCUAUGAAGCUUUACUGUAACUUGAAAUUGGAAUUGGACUUUGCUUGCGCAGUAUAGGUGGGAAGCGUUGAAGAUAUUCUUGCGGGAGUAUUGGAGCUAUCAGUGAGAUACCACUCUUGUAAUGUUAGAUUUCUAACUUUGAACCAUAAUCUGGUCAAAGAACAGUUUCAGGUGGGCAGUUUGACUGGGGCGGUCGCCUCCCAAAUGGUAACGGAGGCGUACAAAGGUUUCCUCUGAACGGAUAGAAAUCGUAUCUAGAGUGUAAAGGCAUAAGGAAGCUUGACUGUGAGACCUACAAGUCGAGCAGGGACGAAAGUCGGUCUUAGUGAUCUGACGGUACUGAGUGGAAAGGCCGUCACUCAACGGAUAAAAGUUACUCUAAGGAUAACAGGCUGAUCUCCCCCAAGAGUUCACAUCGACGGGGAGGUUUGGCACCUCGAUGUCGGCUCAUCGCAUCCUGGGGCGGUAGUACGUCCCAAGGGUUGGGCUGUUCGCCCAUGAAAGCGGUACGCGAGCUGGGUUCAGAACGUCGUGAGACAGUUCGGUCCAUAUCCGGUGUAGGCGUUAGAAUAUUGAGAGGAGCCUUCUUUAGUACGAGAGGACCGAGAAGGACACACCGCUGGUGUACCAGUUAUCGUGCCAACGGUAAACGCUGGGUAGCUAUGUGUGGAGUGGAUAACCGCUGAAAGCAUCUAAGUGGGAAGCCCACUUCAAGAUGAG